UACGAGGGGUGCAAGCGUUGCUCGGAAUUAUUGGGCGUAAAGGGUAGGUAGGUGGUCUCAUUUGUCUGGGGUGAAAGCCUUGAGCUUAACUCAAGAAGUGCCCCAGAAACGGUGAGACUGGAGUCCUGGAGAGGGUCGUGGAAUUCCCGGUGUAGCGGUGAAAUGCGUAGAGAUCGGGAGGAACACCAGAGGCGAAGGCGGCGACCUGGACAGGUACUGACACUCAGCUACGAAAGCGUGGGGAGCAAACAGG
RNAcentral lists this ribosomal RNA (253 nucleotides) under uncultured bacterium. RNAcentral's name for it is "partial 16S ribosomal RNA". It matches the Rfam family "Bacterial small subunit ribosomal RNA", at positions 524 to 776 of the family's 1533-position model. The record is from RNAcentral.